GCUUUUGCCAAGAGUAAACAUCUUGGCGAAUAAGUGGUGGGCAAGACGGGUGCCAGCCGCCGCGGUAACACCUGCGCCACGAGUGGCAWUCACGUUUAUUGGGCCUAAAGCGUUCGUAGCCGGAUURGUCAGUCUUGGGUGAAAUCGUUGCGCUUAACAAAACGACUUGCUUGAGAUACUGCUGAUCUAGGGACCGGGAGGCGUUAGAGGUAUUCCUGAGGGAGCGGUAAAAUGCUAUAAUCUCUCGAGGACCACCUGUGGCGAAGGCGUCUAACGAGAACGGGUCCGACGGUGAGGAACGAAAGCUAGGGGAGCAAACCGGAUUAGAUACCCGAGUAGUCCUAGCCGUAAACGCUGCGARCUAGAUGUUGCAUA
RNAcentral lists this ribosomal RNA (375 nucleotides) under uncultured euryarchaeote. RNAcentral describes it as "bacterial SSU rRNA". It matches the Rfam family "Archaeal small subunit ribosomal RNA", at positions 406 to 780 of the family's 1478-position model. The record is from RNAcentral. Lineage: Archaea; Methanobacteriati; Methanobacteriota.